Quercus lobata is the source of this 485-nucleotide long non-coding RNA. RefSeq lists it as uncharacterized. NCBI's taxonomy places the organism in Eukaryota, Viridiplantae, Streptophyta, Magnoliopsida, Fagales, Fagaceae. The transcript is spliced from 3 exons. The record is from RefSeq and is a predicted model, not a curated record.
AUCUUUUUGUCGGCCAGUAAAUAUUUCUAGACCAGAAUCAAUCCAAUCUUCUUGGAGUAGGAACUCAGCUCAGCCGUUCAGAUUAAAGAUGGAAACAAGGAUAGCCUCAAGUGUGGCUGUAAGUGAAGUUCUUAAUGUAAACAUUAAUUAUUUGGUUUGGAGUGUCCAAGUGAGAACCUAUUUGAUUGCUCAAGAUAUAUGGGACAUUGUUGAAGCAACCGACAAAUGUCCUAAGCAAGAAGAAUGCCAUGGCUUUACAUGUGAUCCAAAUUUCAUGCCUGUAAUGGAUAUGUCAUGUGAUUAGUCUGAUUACUUCCACCAAAAUUGCUUGGGAAACUUUGGAAUCAAUAUGCAGCAUCCCCAAAAGUGAUUAUUUUGAGGAGGAGGAAGAAAGUUAUGUGGGUUGGAGCAAUCGGAUGAAAACAAUUUUAAUGGAUCAUGAUCUUUGGAACAUUGUUGAAACAACCACCGACCAACUACACAUG